Molecule: ribosomal RNA, 253 nt
Filed under: uncultured bacterium
Lineage: Bacteria
Description: partial 16S ribosomal RNA
Rfam family: Bacterial small subunit ribosomal RNA
Source: RNAcentral
UACGGGGGGGGCAAGCGUUGUUCGGAAUUACUGGGCGUAAAGGGUUCGUAGGUGGCCAACUAAGUCAGACGUGAAAUCCCUCAGCUUAACUGGGGAACUGCGUCUGAUACUGGUUGGCUUGAGUGCAGGAGAGGAACGCGGAAUUCCAGGUGUAGCGGUGAAAUGCGUAGAUAUCUGGAGGAACACCGGCGGCGAAGGCGGCGUUCUGGACUGCAACUGACACUGAGGAACGAAAGCCAGGGUAGCAAACGGG